GACGAACGCUGGCGGCGUGCCUAAUACAUGCAAGUAGAACGCUGAAGCUUGGUGCUUGCACCGAGCGGAUGAGUUGCGAACGGGUGAGUAACGCGUAGGUAACCUGCCUGGUAGCGGGGGUUAACUAUUGGAAACGAUAGCUAAUACCGCAUAAGAGUAGAUGUUGCAUGACAUUUGCUUAAAAGGUGCAAUUGCAUCACUACCAGAUGGACCUGCGUUGUAUUAGCUAGUUGGUGAGGUAACGGCUCACCAAGGCAACGAUACAUAGCCGACCUGAGAGGGUGAUCGGCCACACUGGGACUGAGACACGGCCCAGACUCCUACGGGAGGCAGCAGUAGGGAAUCUUCGGCAAUGGACGGAAGUCUGACCGAGCAACGCCGCGGGAGUGAAGAAGGUUUUCGGAUCGUAAAGCUCUGUUGUAAGAGAAGAACGAGUGUGAGAGUGGAAAGUUCACACUGUGACGGUAUCUUACCAGAAAGGGACGGCUAACUACGUG
Molecule: ribosomal RNA, 497 nt
Filed under: uncultured bacterium
Lineage: Bacteria
Description: partial 16S ribosomal RNA
Rfam family: Bacterial small subunit ribosomal RNA
Source: RNAcentral